Molecule: long non-coding RNA, 1174 nt
Organism: Camelus dromedarius (Arabian camel)
Lineage: Eukaryota; Metazoa; Chordata; Mammalia; Artiodactyla; Camelidae
Exons: 3
Source: RefSeq, a predicted model, not a curated record
GCGGGGGGCGCUCCCUGUGGCCGCGGCCGCGGCCGCGCAGUCCGGGAACUCGGCUCCGUCAGACUUCCGGGAAAGAGGCGGCGGCUUUUCUUCCCCAAAAUCCAGCAGGUUCAUUGGAUGUGCUUUUGUUUUACAGUGGAAAACUACAGUAAAAAAAAAAAACAACAACAACAACCAUUGCGAUGAAAAUAAGUGAGAGUAGAACCUGCCGGCUUCACUUCCUAGAGGCUUUCUGUUGGGUCUUGAAACUAGGAAUCUUUGCGGGUCAUCCUUGUAAGUGCCUUUUUCAUCCGUUCACACUGGUGCUUGUCCGUCUCUGAUGCGUUUAACAUCGUUAGACUGCUGACGUGGUGACAUUGUGCUAAGUUGAUUUGAUGAUGAUUUCUGCUUUGAUCGGUUAACAUCGCCUCCCUUGAUGACACGCCAUAGAUGCAUACACGUUGCAAAAAGAAAGGCGCGGCGGAAGAGGUGUCUUUUUAACCCUGUGGUAAAAUACGUAUGAAAAUACUCCCUAAAGCGCUGCCAGUACCGAGAGAGGGGAGCAUUAUUCAGGGCGCAUGAGCUGAACAGCCAGGAAAUCAUUUAAUUUUAAAUUGUCCAGUGCCGGUUGAAGAUCACUCCAAAACCAGAAUGAGGCAUCCCUGGGAUGGAACUGUUCCAGGAGCUGCGAAUACGGCCACGAGCAAAUGUAGAAUCCCUGCCCACGUGAAACGUGUGCUCCAGUUGGAGACGACAGGCCAUAUAAACAACCUGCUUGGAACUCUUGUGUCCUCCACUGUUGUCUGCACCCUGACAUCUGCUGCGGUCUCGUUUGCUCCGACUGCUCCCUCAGUUCCCUGCCAGGUGGACUUCUUCCCCAGCCCUGGCCUACACAGCCCUUACUCAGCUGCGAUUCUGUCUGCGGCCGAAGAGCAAACCGCUUCUCUCAUUGCAUCCCGAAUCAAAGUGUCUGCCUAUCUCCUCUAGGCUUUAAUCAAGAUCAGCCAUUUAUUUCCAAAGGCCAGAAGCUUCCACAAUGAAGGCGACUCGCAUGUUCUCUUCUUGCAGAACAUUAAGGAGGAGGCUUGAUGGAAGCCAAGCGAUUCUGCUAUCCCAUUGUGUGGUUCUGUUAUCAUAUUGCUUUUCUUUUUAAGCUUCUUAGCUAUUAUGCCAAAUAUAAAAGUAACUCUGACUA